UGUAACUCCUCCAUCAGCCGAAGCCACUCUCACCGUUUCCUUCUUUCCCCUUUUCCUUCCCAACUUUCGCCUUUUCCCAAAGUUUUCCCAUUAUUUCUCCUCACCAACUUUGCCUUUUUGUCCAACUUCUUCCCCAUCUUUGUGCCCAACCUCUUUGUCUUCUCUGCCGUCUCUUAGGACUCAACUUUCCCGUCUUCUUUCCCAACUUUUCCCACCGCCUCCUCCAACCCGCUCUCACCGUUUCCUUCUUUCCCUUUUCCCUCCCAACUUCCCCCUUUUCCCGCAGUUUUCCCCCCUUUUCCUGCUCCAUCUUUCUCCUCCUGUCCAUCAUCCCUGCCCUCCUUCCCCUCCUUUCUGUCCUCUCAGUCUGAUCCUUCCCGCUUUGUUUCCCACAUUUUUCCUUUCCCCUUUUCCCUCCCUCCCCUUUCUUCCCUUCUCCAGAGCAGUGCACACCCCACAGCACAUUGGGGUUCCUACAGAAUUGUUCUUAGCGUAAUUAAGCUGAAGAUCUAAUGAGAGCACGGACUACACGGGGAGAGAAAGCGCGAUCCCAUAGGAUGCAAUGGGAAUUGUCUGCAUGAGCUGGCUCAGGCACGACCCCAUAAAACAUCAGGGGAAUCGGCUUCACCUGCGGGGUCAGGAGCAAUCCCAUAGGACACAAAGGAAUUGUUGUGGUGCCUUGGGUUCAGCACGACCCCAUAAAGCAGGAACGGAACGGUCUUCAUGAAUGGGGUUCAGCACGACCCCAUAAAGCAGGAAC
RNAcentral lists this long non-coding RNA (760 nucleotides) under Numida meleagris (helmeted guineafowl). RNAcentral's name for it is "lncRNA (ENSNMEG00000001325.1)". The record is from RNAcentral. Lineage: Eukaryota; Metazoa; Chordata; Aves; Galliformes; Numididae.